Molecule: ribosomal RNA, 519 nt
Filed under: uncultured bacterium
Lineage: Bacteria
Description: bacterial SSU rRNA
Rfam family: Bacterial small subunit ribosomal RNA
Source: RNAcentral
AUAGAUACCCGGGUAGUCCACGCCGUAAACGAUGUCGACUUGGAGGUUGUUCCCUUGAGGAGUGGCUUCCGGAGCUAACGCGUUAAGUCGACCGCCUGGGGAGUACGGCCGCAAGGUUAAAACUCAAAUGAAUUGACGGGGGCCCGCACAAGCGGUGGAGCAUGUGGUUUAAUUCGAUGCAACGCGAAGAACCUUACCUACUCUUGACAUCCAGAGAACUUAGCAGAGAUGCUUUGGUGCCUUCGGGAACUCUGAGACAGGUGCUGCAUGGCUGUCGUCAGCUCGUGUUGUGAAAUGUUGGGUUAAGUCCCGCAACGAGCGCAACCCUUAUCCUUUGUUGCCAGCGGCUAGGCCGGGAACUCAAAGGAGACUGCCAGUGAUAAACUGGAGGAAGGUGGGGAUGACGUCAAGUCAUCAUGGCCCUUACGAGUAGGGCUACACACGUGCUACAAUGGCGCAUACAAAGAGAAGCGACCUCGCGAGAGCAAGCGGACCUCAUAAAGUGCGUCGUAGUCCGGA